GACGAACGCUGGCGGCGUGCCUAAUACAUGCAAGUCGAGCGAAGUUUUUCUGGUGCUUGCACUAGAAAAACUUAGCGGCGAACGGGUGAGUAACACGUAAAGAACCUGCCUCAUAGACUGGGACAACUAUUGGAAACGAUAGCUAAUACCGGAUAACAGUAUUUCUCGCAUGAGAGAUAUUUAAAAGUUGGUUAUGCUAACACUAUGAGAUGGCUUUGCGGUGCAUUAGCUAGUUGGUGGGGUAAAGGCCCACCAAGGCGACGAUGCAUAGCCGACCUGAGAGGGUGAUCGGCCACACUGGGACUGAGACACGGCCCAGACUCCUACGGGAGGCAGCAGUAGGGAAUCUUCCGCAAUGGGCGAAAGCCUGACGGAGCAACGCCGCGUGAGUGAAGAAGGAUUUCGGUUCGUAAAGCUCUGUUGUUAGGGAAGAAUGGAUAUGUAGUAACUAUACAUGUAAGAGACGGUACCCAACCAGAAAGCCACGGCUAACUACGUG
Molecule: ribosomal RNA, 499 nt
Filed under: uncultured bacterium
Lineage: Bacteria
Description: partial 16S ribosomal RNA
Rfam family: Bacterial small subunit ribosomal RNA
Source: RNAcentral